Molecule: long non-coding RNA, 367 nt
Filed under: Sinocyclocheilus grahami
Lineage: Eukaryota; Metazoa; Chordata; Actinopteri; Cypriniformes; Cyprinidae
Description: lncRNA (ENSSGRG00000032384.1)
Source: RNAcentral
CUAAAAGUAACGUGUUUGACCAGCACAUGUUGAGAUUACUGGUUUGAUAGCACCGUGACGCUAGGAAAAAUGUUAGUUAUAUAGUUAUCUGAAGAAUAGCAGGGAUGGUUACCCGAGUCAUAAACUUCCUUAUUUUCAAAACGGAGCUCUGUGUAUGUGUGUGCGUGCCUGUUUUUAAUAUGCCUUGUAAUGCAGUAGGGCUUGGUUAGCACAGAUUUGGCUGCACACAGGUUCACACAACAUAAUCCCAGAACAUGGCUUUAAAGGAGGAUCUAUUGCGAGACAUGCAGAAGUGUUUUUACAACCUGAAUGUUGAAGAGGAUAAAAAAGAGACAGUAAUUCCGAGAGAACGGUGUGUGCAUGAAAA